RNAcentral lists this ribosomal RNA (118 nucleotides) under Jaculus jaculus (lesser Egyptian jerboa). Lineage: Eukaryota; Metazoa; Chordata; Mammalia; Rodentia; Dipodidae. The record is from RNAcentral.
AGGGCGUCCAUACCACCCUCAGCGCCCCCAGUCUCAUCUGGUCUCGGAAGCUAAGCAGGGUCACGCCUGGUUGGUGCUUGUAUGUGAGAAGGGGACAGAGGCUCAGCAAAUGCCGCUA